RNAcentral lists this long non-coding RNA (319 nucleotides) under Olea europaea subsp. europaea. It matches the Rfam family "Bacterial small subunit ribosomal RNA", at positions 391 to 712 of the family's 1533-position model. The record is from RNAcentral. Lineage: Eukaryota; Viridiplantae; Streptophyta; Magnoliopsida; Lamiales; Oleaceae.
GCAACUCCACAUGGAGGUAAAAGGCCCAUGGGUCGUGAACUUCUUUUCCCAGAGAAGAAGCAAUGACGAUAACUGGGGAAUAAGUAUCAGCUAACUUUGUGCCAGCAGAUGUGGUAAGAAAAAUGAUGCAAGAUAGAGGAUGCAAGCGUUAUCCAGAAUGAUUGGGUGUAAAGCGUCUAUAGGUAGCUUUUUAAGUCAGCCGUCAAAUCCCAAGGCUCAACCCUGGACAGGUGGUGGAAACUACCAAGUUGGAAUACGGUAGGGGUAGAGGAAAUUUUCGGUGGAGUGGUGAAAGCGUAGAGAUUGAAAAGAACACCAA